GACAGAGGGUGCAAACGUUGUUCGGAAUUACUGGGCGUAAAGCGCGCGCAGGCGGUCCUUUAAGUCAGGGGUGAAAGCCCAGAGCUCAACUCUGGAACUGCCUUUGAAACUAGAGGACUUGGGUACGGGAGAGGUGAGUGGAAUUCCGAGUGUAGAGGUGAAAUUCGUAGAUAUUCGGAAGAACACCAGUGGCGAAGGCGGCUCACUGGCCCGUUACCGACGCUCAGGCGCGACAGCGUGGGGAGCAAACAGG
This 253-nucleotide ribosomal RNA is filed under the name uncultured bacterium. Its description in RNAcentral is "partial 16S ribosomal RNA". It matches the Rfam family "Bacterial small subunit ribosomal RNA", at positions 524 to 776 of the family's 1533-position model. The record is from RNAcentral.